GGCCACAGUGGCUGCCAGUGUGGGACAGAGCGAGGGGGCAAGCCCAGAGUGUUCAGCCAUGGCUGAGCUGCACACCAGCACCAUGGUAGCCAUCCCACCAAUAUGCCACAUGGCCUGGCCUGCCCGGCAAGCUGCUCAGUGGCCCUGCGCAUUGUGUACCGUCUCAAGGGCUGCAGGAAGGCCAAGUUACUGGCUGUAUGAGAGUAGUACCCCAGGAGCUCCUCAAAGACCUAGUGCCAGGACGAGUGUCCCUGGUGAUGGAACGUUCAGAGGAGCUCAACAACGACCUAAACCCCUUUACUCCUCUUACAAGGUAUCCGGAUUCCUGAUUAUGCCUUUAUGCAAGACUUGGCCAAGAUGUAUGAGCAUCCUCUUGCUCUCACUAGUGCCAACCUCAGCUCCCAGGACAGUUCUCUGAAUGCCAUGGAGUUAUAAGACCUCUGGCCUCAGUUGUCCUUGGUCAUUGAUGGGGGACAAGCUAGGGAUAGCCAGAUCCCUGAGUGUUACCUUGGCUCAACUGUGGUUGACUUAUCUGUGCAUAGAAAGUUUGGCAUCAUUCGUCCAGGCUGUGUCCUGGAAAGUACUACAGCCUUUCUUCAACAGAGGUAUGGGUUGCACCCCUCAUGUGCAUCCUACUUGUGA
RNAcentral lists this long non-coding RNA (642 nucleotides) under Homo sapiens (human). RNAcentral's name for it is "non-protein coding lnc-NUTM2G-2:1". The record is from RNAcentral. Lineage: Eukaryota; Metazoa; Chordata; Mammalia; Primates; Hominidae.